This 29487-nucleotide long non-coding RNA is filed under the name Triticum aestivum (bread wheat). RNAcentral's name for it is "long non-coding RNA (TAES_LNC023905)". Lineage: Eukaryota; Viridiplantae; Streptophyta; Magnoliopsida; Poales; Poaceae. The record is from RNAcentral.
UUUGUUUUUUUGUUUUGUUUUGUUCUUUUCUUUCUAUUUAAUAUUUUAUUUCUGUUUUCUUUUUAUUGCACAAUAAUUUUAGUUUAGUAAAAUAUGACAAUAGCCCCUAAAAUAAUGUUCCAGAAUAAUCCACUGUCAUAAAAAGUUUUACCCCGAAUUAAAAUAGUUUAGCAAUCUAUAAAAUACCAAAGGCAUUUAUGUAAUUGUUUUUGCUACGGUUUAAAUCAUUUUAGAGUGUUUAAGCAUUUUUUUAAAGUGUGGUUUCUCCGCCAUAAUUACCUAUGCAUUAUUUGGCUCACUCUGAACAUUUUAGUUUUAAUAUUUGAAAACUUUUAUUGUUUGUAUUUAAUUAAAAUUUUGAAUUUGAAUCAUUUUGAACUAACGUGAGUUUAUUAACAGAAAUCGAGGUGACGUGGCAUCAUUAGUGGAGGGUUACUGUAGCUUAAUUAUCCGGGCGUCACAUAUUCUCCUCCACUACAAGAAAUCUCGUCCUGAGAUUUAAGAGGGGAGUAAGGGGGAAGAAUAGGUUACAAAAUUCUAACGAUUCUUCUCGGUCAUUGGUUGCUCUUCUCGAAAAGGUCGAUCUAUUACGUAGAUGUCUUCAUUUCUCUGCUUCAGGUCAUCAUGAUGAAGUAGGCAUCAUUUCUUUGGCGUCGUACUUACGGAAGAAUAAGGGGGUAUUCUGGAAGAACGGACCUCGGCAAGGUUGACUAUUUGGUCGAUAACAUCGGGGGAGGUGGCGGAAAGUAACUCUCGAAUUGAAACUUAAGAAGAUAUCGAGAGCAAAGUAAGAAGGUACCAUGAGAAGUUUCGAGCGGGCAGGCAAUCGUUUGAUGCCUGAAACAGGGCGUGAAAGGGGUUCAGAGCAACAGGAAUAAGUAUUGUGUUUGAUACCAGAAUUGAUUACUAAGAAGGUGGCUCAUGAUCUACAUAAGAAGCCAAGCAUGUCGAAUAACUUUAGAAACAUGGAUGUACAGGAGAGUCAGGUUUCGAUCAUGUGGAACUGUGGGUUAUGGGCCCAUCAUGUGGGUUAAAAUAAGGAAGGGCGUUGACAUCUUGCAUGGUCAUGAUAGCAAGGCAUGUUAGAUAAUAACCGGUCAGUUAUGUUGGCUACAUCGUUGGUACCAAGGGCGGGGGAUGAAGGGAACCAUUUUCCUGCUCGUUAAAACGAGGUGGACCAAUAGGCAAAGUUCUCGUCCAUCGGUGGUUACCGAAAUGUCAUCAACAAUAGUAACACGGUCUUACUGACAAGGUUGUACACCAGGGUGUUUACAUAAGCAGUGAAUCAUUACUGCUUAGAUCAUAUAAACCACGAGAAAGGUUAAACAAGACAAUGGAAAGGAAAUGUGAUUAUCAGAUUAAACAGAACAAUGGAAAGGAAAAUGUGUUUAAACACAUAUUUCAGGGGUAUAUCCUUCCUAAGGACAAGCAAAGCACGAUAUCCAUGACAGGAUAGAAAGUAGAAAACCAUUUAGGUAAUGGGAGAGGAAUUUCAUGGCAUUACCCAUACAACGGUGAUUGGAUAAUGGAUAAAGAAAACUUAGCAUUGCGCUUCCAAUGCUCUUAUUGAUGUUUGAGUACCACAGUCAUGCUUAGAGAUAGCAUUGGCAUGGUCGUCAAGCAAAGAUCGAACUUUGGAUACACAAAGGAUCCAUCAGGAACAACUUAUAGAAUAAGUCUUACAGUUUCCUCAUGGAAGAAUGGUUAACCUUGCUAAAAAGGAAACUAUAACAAUAGUUCCUUCGGCUAGGUGUGCUAGGCACGAUAUCACCUUACCGGGUCAUAUAAAGACCAAUGUUAUAACUCUUGGAAAUAUGUUCCCACCAUCAUAUCUGACCGAGGUUCAGAUCCGAUUGGUGUCAGGAUACCUCAGACUCAGGAUGCCUGAGAAGAAAAGGUGCAACACAAAUUGACGAGAUGUCAUUGUAAGAUUCUCGAGAAAUGAACUAUGGAAGCGAGUUCCGAAACAAGAGUUCAUCAUUUAACCAAGGAGAGGAUGAGGAGGUGGCUGAUGAACUCAGUGACAAUUCAUUGAGAUUUUCAAAGGAUGGAUUUCCACACUUAUGUGAACAAGGAGAUAACAUUUGUCAGAUCAAAUGUUAUAAUGAGGUAUGCUCGAGGAAAACAUACAUAGUUAAACAUUUGUUGAAAGGUGCACCCGAAAUAUGGGCUUAGGUAGCAUGAUCAGUGUUAGAAUGGUGAUUCGAUAACCAAUGGUCCAAGAAUGAAAUAUCGACCAUUAACUUCAAAGCAAUAGGGUUGCUAGAAGUUUUGAAGUCGCACAUCAUAGUUCAAUUGUCGGUUUUAUGGUUAGAAUCAACACGGGGACCAAGGAAUGAACGGAUAUGGCAAGAAGUAUCACCUGUAUCAAGAAUUCUUAAGAGGUGGUGAAAUUCUCACGACAUUCUUGACAAAAAAGAUGGUGAUACUCCAAGGUAAAGAACAAAUGCUGGAUAGCAAGGAUCUCAAGGUAUAACACGAAACACGAACAAGUUUGUGUUGAACGGAAGGCAAUAAAGUGGUCGAUGAUAACACAAAUCAUCGAGGGCAAGGAUGGUAUUUCUCAUCAUGAAUUCAAUUGAUAUCCUGGAAGAGCUCAGAAUGUUGAUGAUGACCAUGACAAAUUUUGUUGAGACGCUCCAUGAAGAAGCAAUUGAAUAGCGGCUACAUCAAGCAACAUGACUAAUGCAAAGAAAGAUUAUUGGAACCACGGAUAUGACACCAACUCAUAAUCAAGCUUGUUGUUCGAGGUGAAACUAUAAGACAAGGAAGAUUGACGUAAGCUUAGCUCAUCGCCGAAAGUGGUGCUCCGGAAAUAAGGACCAAGUAGCACAAUUAAAAUCAGCACGAUACUGAUAUAGCUGGUUAGGCUAGAAAUGACGUGAUCGAGUACAAACUCGUAAGUAAAGAAGAUUACUAAUAGUUGUUUAAUCACGAUGCGGACUUGAUUCAGUUAUCGGUGUCCUUGAGUGUUUAAUGACCCAGAGCCCGUGAAAAAAUUGGAAUCAGUGAGAAUGUAGUACUUGAUGGAGAACUCAUAAGAAGUUAUGCAGUUCCGUGAUAAUCUCGAGAUACCAGGGUGUAAUACUUGACGGAAGAUCAAAGUAAAGGUUGAUCCACAUAAGACAAGUGCUUAAACUUGCCUGAGAAAUGGGAUCAAAGAAGAACAUGUGGUCGGAACCACGAUUGACAAGGAUCAAUUCACCGAUACCAAAGGAUAUUACAUCAAGGAAAUAGUUAUUAUUAGAAGAAGCUUCCAUGAUAGGAUCUAGAUCGUGUCCAUGGGCAUGAACACAAUGUUCAAGGUCGACUCCCACUUCCUCAAUGCAUAACCUUCCAUUCACCUCUUGUAUUUCGAAAACGACAUUAGUUGUUGAAAGUUUUACCUGGUGCAAUACCAGAUAAGUAUGACCCAUGAAAUCUUUCGGGUUCACACAGAUUAGGGAAGGCGUUGGUUCAACCCAUCGGGGCAUCUUAGGAACAUAUACCACAAACUUCGGAGUAAAUAAUACAAGCUCGAAAGUAGAGUAUGGUUAUCAAAGCAGAGGAUACAAAUUACCAAAGGCAUUAUAUACCCAUGGAAAGGCUCACAAGGUUAUUGAAUAUGAAGGACACUCUCGGAAAAAAAUGCAACAAAGGAUCUGGUGGUCCACCAGGGAUAUGAUGUGAGCAUCGGUACUCAACCAGAAGAAGAAAGAAUGCAAGGGGUCAUAUUACAGAAACAACUAACUAAUUCCCAGCUCAAAUGCACAGGAAUUAUGAUUUCCAAGGCAGGGGACCAAAAGCAAACACUCUGAUAAGGAUGGGUAAGUUGAAUAGACUAAGGGGUACAAUCGACGGCAAUUUAAUUGGUCGAGAACCAGCUCCUGUUUAAAAUGACGUCUAAGCCAAAAGGAUGAAUUAUAGGAUCUGAUUGGGGAUUGCGAGCAUUCGUAGCAUAUCGAAUCAAGGGACCGAAAUGAUAGUGACAGAGGAUGUCAACAAGAUAACUAGAAGUAUGGAAUUAACCAUAAUGCAGGAAGGCAUGGAAUUCAGGAGCAAUAGGUUGUUGAGGAUUUUCAGAAAAUCGAAUGGUAUUUCAAGGACUUUUGUGAAACACAUGAUCAACUAGGGAUGAACGAAUCCUCGAUAAGUGUGAGGAAUUAUUUGCAGGUGUAUUCACGAUGAAAAGAGCUAACAGUAGGCACAAAGGAUUCUCGAGAUAUUGGAAAAUAUUCUGUGGUAUCUACUAAUAACAAGAGCAUCUUGGAAUGAAGGUAUGGACGACGACUGUAUGUAUUUAUCCAUAGGAAUAUAUCGGUGGUCGGAAAUAGCAAAAGCGGUGGGCACAAAGUAUCGAGAGAAUAUCGGAGAGUAUCUCUGGAAUCUUCUGGUGCACCAAGUAAUCAUCUGGAGUAAGGGCUCUCCGGGAGGAAAUAGUUACGAGAACCUAGAGUCGGCGUUAGUAAAAUCAUUUAACCCAAAUAGAAGAGAGAUCAGAGUCCCAGAGUAUAGGUCGAGGAAUAAAAUAUCCUAAUACCACCCAAUGGCGAUGUGGGCCCGUAAGCCACACAGCCAUGUUAGUAAAAGUUUUGCAAUGACUAGACUCAACUUCGGCCAAGGAGUUGGAAGGGGGAUUCCUACAGGCAGUCGACUCUGAUACCAACUUGUGACGCCCCCGAUUCAUUCGUACACUAAUCAUACAUGCAAACAUGUACGAUCAAGUUCAGGGACUCACGGGAAGAUAUCACAACACAACUCUAAAAAUAAAUAAGUCAUACAAGCAUCAUAAUACAAGCCAGGGGCCUCGAGGGCUCAAAUACAAGUGCUCGAUCAUAGACAAGUCAGCGGAAGCAACAAUAUCUGAGUACAGACAUAAAGUUAAACAAGGUGUCAUAAGAUGGCUAGCACAAACUGGGAUACAGAUCGAAAGAGGAGUAGGCCUCCUACCUGGGAUCCUCCUAAACUACUCCUGGUCGUCAUCGAUGGCCUGCACGUAGUAGUAGUAGGCACCCUCUGUGUAGUAGGAGUCGUCGAAGGUGGCGUCUGACUCCUGGGCUCCAGCAUCUGGUUGCGACAACCGAGAAGAAUGGAAAGGGGGAAAGAGGGAGAAAACCAACCGUGAGUACUCAUCCAAAGUACUCGCAAGCAAGGAUCUACACUACAUAUGCAUUGGUAUCAAUGAAAUGGGUAGUAUCUGUGGAUUGAACUGCAGAAUGCCAGAAUAAGAGGGGGAUAGCUAGUCCUAUCGAAGACUACGCUUCUAGCAGCCUCCAUCUUGAAGCAUAGAGAAGAGAAUAGCUGGUAAGUUCACCAAGUAACAUCGUAUAGCAUAAUCCUACCGACGAUCCUCUCCUCGUCGCCCCGUGAGAGAGCGAUCACCAAGUUGUAUCUGUCACUUGAAAAGGUGUGUUUUAUUAAGUAUCCGUUUCUAGUUGUCAUAAGGUCGAGGUACAACUCCAGGUCAUCCUUUUACCGAGGGACAUGGUUAUUCGAAUGAAUAAACUUCCCUGUAGGGGUGCACCACAUUGCCCAACACGCUUGAUCCCUCUGGCCAGACACACUUUCCUGGGUCAUGCCCGGCCUCGGAAGAUCAACACGUCACAGCCCCACCUAGACUCAACAGAGAGGUCAGCACGCCGGUCUAAACCCUAAGCGCGCAGGGGUCAGGGCCCAUCGCCCAUUGCACUCCUGCACGUUGCGAGGGCGGCCGGAAGCAGACCUAGCCCCCUUAAUACAAGCGCAGGCUUACAGUCCAAUCCGGCGCGCGCCGCUCCGCCGCUGACGUCAAAAGAGCUUUAGCUGAUACCACGACGUCGAGAGCCCAUAACUAUUCCCAUGUAGUUGGUUAGUGCGUAUAGGCUCGUAGCCAGACUCGGAUCAAAUACCAAGAUCUCGUUAAGCAUGUUAAUUGAUGUAACUGCGGACGCCGACCAGGGGCCAGGCCCACCUCUCACCUAGGUGGUCUCAACCUGCCCUGUCGCUCCGCCACAAAGUAACAGUCGGGGGCCGUCAGGAACCCAGGCCCACCACUACCGGCAUGGAACCACCUGUCCUUUCAGCCCCCACAUCGGAAUCACUUGCGGGUACUCUACGAGCCGACCCUACUUUAGUCACCACAUGUAUCAUAUAAUAUGUAUGUAAUUAUAUACCCGUGAUUACCUCCCGAGUGAUCACGGCCCGGUAGUAUAGCAUGGCAGACGGACAAGAAUGUAGGGCCACUGAUGGAAUACUAGCAUCCUAUACUAAGCAUUUAGGAUUGCAGGUAAGGGUAACAAUUGUAGCAACAAUGACAUGCUAUGCAACAAAAUAGGAUUAACCGAAAGCAGUAACAUGCUACACUACUCUAAUGCAACCAGUAGAGAGAAGGAAUAGGCAAUAUCGGGUUGAGCAAGGGGGGGGGCUUGCCUGGAAGCUCAGUCGAGAAGGAGGGGUCGUCAACACUGUAGUCGUACUGGGUAGCAGCGACGUUGAACUCGGUGUCUAACGAGAGAAGAGGGGGAAGAAACAAUAAAUAUAACAUAAGCAUGACAAUGCAUGACAUGACAAUGAGCGGUGCUAGGUGUGCCCUAACGUGGUAGUAGGUGAUACCGGUGAAGGGGGGAAAUAUCCAGGAAAGUGUUCCCGGUGUUUUGCGUUUUCGGGCAGACAGACCAGAGGGGGAAAGUUGCAUGUUCGCUAUGCUAGGGACGUGUGGCGGACAAAUGGGCUGUGUAUUCGGAUUCGUCUCGUUGUUCUGAGCAACUUUCAUGUACAAAGUUUUUCCAUCCGAGUUACAGAUUAUUUAUUAUUAAUUUUCAAAGUUUUAAUUCAUUUUCUAAAUUAUUUUAAUUCGAAAAUUAAAUGUUAAAUGCUACGGGUACACAUAAGUGUACCUAGAGGUGUACAAUGGGGCUGGCUGGUGGGGACAGGGGGCUGAGUCAGUAGCCCAGUCAGCAGUCAAAGUUUGACUGUUGACUGGUCAACCUGACCAGUGGGUCCCCAUGUCAUAGACACAUUAGAUAACUAAGUUCAAUUAGUUUAAUUAAAUAGAUUAAUUAACCUAAUUAGGUGGUUAGUUCAAUUAAGCCAAACUGAUUCACUAAUUAAUUAAUAUUUUAAUUCUUUUCUUUUUGUUUUCCAGGGCGUGGGGCUUGGCUGUCAUAGGCCCAAGCCAAACCGGGGAGGGUGCCGGGCGUGGGUGAUACGUCUCCGUUGUAUGUACUUUUCCAAACACUUUUGCCCUUGUUUUGGACUCCAACUUGCAUGAUUUGAAUGGAACUAACCCGGACUGACGCUGUUUUCAGCAGAAUUGCCAUGGUGUUAUUUUUGUGCAGAAAUAAAAGUUCUCGGAAUGACCUAAAACUUCACGGAGAUUAUUUUUUGAAAUAAUAAAAAAAUACUGGCGAAAGAAUCAAGGCCAGGGGGGCCACACACUGUCCACGAGGGUGGUAGGCACGCCUGCCCCCCUGGGCGCGUCCCCUGCCUCGUGGGCCCCCUGGAGCUCCACCGACCUCAACUCCAACUCUAUAUAUUCACGUUCGGGGAGAAAAAAAUCAGAGAGAAGGAUUCAUCGCGUUUUACGAUACGGAGCCGCCGCCAAGCCCUAAUCUCUCUCGGGAGGGCUGAUCUGGAGUCCGUUCGGGGCUCCGAAGAGGAGAAUCCGUCGCCAUCGUCAUCAUCAACCAUCCUCCAUCACCAAUUUCAUGAUGCUCACCGUCGUGCGUGAGUAAUUCCAUCGUAGGCUUGCUGGACGGUGAUGGGUUGGAUGAGAUUUAUCAUGUAAUCGAGUUAGUUUUGUUAGGGUUUGAUCCCUAGUAUCCACUAUGUUCUGAGAUUGAUGUUGCUAUGACUUUGCUAUGCUUAAUACUUGUCACUAGGGCCUGAGUGCCAUGAUUUCAGAUCUGAACCUAUUAUGUUUUCAUGAAUAUAUGUGAGUUCUUGAUCCUAUCUUGCAAGUCUAUAGUCACCUACUAUGUGUUAUGAUCCGGCAACCCCGAAUUGACAAUAAUCGGGACCACUCCCGGUGAUGACCAUAGUUUGAGGAGUUCAUGUAUUCACUAUGUGUUAAUGCUUUGGUCCGAUACUCUAUUAAAAGGAGGCCUUAAUAUCCCUUAGUUUCCAAUAGGACCCCGCUGCCACGGGAGGGUAGGACAAAAGAUGUCAUGCAAGUUCUUUUCCAUAAGCACAUAUGACUAUAUUCGGAAUACAUGCCUACAUUACAUUGAUGAAUUGGAGCUAGUUCUGUGUCACCCUAUGUUAUAACUGUUGCAUGAAUAAUCGCAUCCAGCAUAAUUCUCCAUCACCGAUCCAAUGCAUAUGAGCUUUUCACAUAUUGUUCUCCGCUUAGUUACUUUUCCGUUGCCACUAUUACAAUCACUACAAAACUACUACUGUUACUUUUGCUACUGUUACCGUUACUUCCAUAUUACUUUGCUACUAAAUACUUUGCUGCAGAUACUAAGUUAUCCAGGUGUGGUUGAAUUGACAACUCAACUGCUAAUACUUGAGAAUAUUCUUUGGCUCCCCUUGUGUCGAAUCAAUAAACUUGGGUUGAAUACUCUACCCUCGAAAACUGUUGCGAUCCCCUAUACUUGUGGGUUAUCAAGACUAUUUUCUGGCACCGUUGCCGGGGAGCAUAGCUCUAUUCUGUGAGUCACUUAGGAUUUAUAUCUGCUGGUCACUAUGAGGAACUUGAAAGACGAGAAAACUAAAAUAUAUCCCUCAACUACGAGGGGAGGUAAGGAACUGCCAUCUAGCUCUGCACUUGAUUCACCUUCUGUUUUGAGUAAGCUUGCGACACCUAAACCUGCUUCUGCUAUUAAUUCUGAUAUGUCCAUGUUAUUGAUGAUGCCACUUCUGCUAUGCAUGAUACUUAUGAUGAAACUACUUCUAUGUCAGAUACUACUGUGCCACUAGGUGAAUUUCUUGAUGAACAACUUGCUAGGGCUAGAUAGAAUGAAAUUAUUGAAACUGAUAAUAUUGGUGAAAGUGAUGAUGAAGAUUCUCACCCUAAAUAUGAAUUACCUGUUGUGCCUGAGGGUUAUGUUAUGGAUGAAGAAACUGCUAGAGACUUUCUUGCUUGCAAUGAUGGAAGUGAUCUUAAGAAAUUAUUAGUUAAGCUGAAAGAAAAAUCUCUAAAUGCUAGAAUGAAAUAUGACCCUGCUUAUGCUACUUCACCUAUCUUUGUUACUGAUAAGGAUUAUGAUUUCUAUGUCGAUCCUGAGAUAAUUACUUUGGUUGAAUCUGAUCCUUUUUAUGGCUAUGAAUCUGAAACUAUUGUGGCACAUCUUACUAAAUUAAAUGAUAUAGCCACCCUGUUCACUAAUGAUGAGAAAACUCGUUACUACUAUAUCCUUAAAUUAUUUCUGUUCUCAUUAAAGGAUGAUGCUAAAACAUGGUUUAAUUCUCUUGAUCCUGGUUGUGUGCGUAGUCCCGAGGAUAUGAUUUAUUACUUCUCUGCUAAAUAUUUCCCUGCUCAUAAGAAACAAGCUGCUUUAAGGGAAAUAUAUAAUUUUGUGCAAAUUGAAGAAGAGAGUCUCCCACAAGCUUGGGGGAGGCUUCUCCAAUUACUUAAUGCUUUGCCUGAUCAUCCUCUCAAGAAGAAUGAAAUACUUGAUAUCUUUUAUAAUGGACUAAUCGAUGCUUCCAGAGACCACCUGGAUAGUUGUGCUGGUUGUGUUUUCAGGGAAAGAACAAUUGAUGAAUCUGAAAUUCUGUUGAAUAAUAUGUUGAUGAAUGAAAACAAUUGGACACUUCCUGAACCAACUCCUAAGCCAACUCCGAAGAAAAGGGGCGUUCUAUUUCUCAGUCCUGAAGAUAUGCAAGAGGCAAAGAAAUCUAUGAAGGAAAAAGGUAUUAAAGCUGAAGAUGUUAAGAAUUUACCUCCUGUUGAAGAAAUACAUGGUCUUAAUUUACCGCCUGUGGAAGAAACACAUGGUCUUGAUAACCCGACACAGGUAGUAAAGGUAAACUCUCUCUAUAGAUAUGAUAAAGCUGAAAUCCCUCCUACUAAGUUUGCUAGCCAAUGCUUAGAUGAGUUUGAUAAUUUUAUGGUUAAGCAAGAAGAUUUCAAUGCUUAUUUUGGUAGACAAUUAAAACGCAAUGCUUAUAUGAUUGAACACUUGAGUGAUUAUAUGUCUAGAGUUAAAGGUGAACUUAAACUCAUUAGUAAACAUGCUUCUAUGGUUACCACUCAAGUAGAACAAGUACUUAAAGCUCAGAAUGAUUUGCUCAAUGAAUUAAAUAAUAAGAAGAAUGAUAAUGCUGUUAGAGUUGUGACUAGAGGGGGUAGAAUGACUCAGGAACCUUUGUAUCCUGAGGGCCACCCUAAGAGAAUUGAGCAAGAUUGUCAGAGAACUAAUGUUGAUGCACCUAGUCCUUCUAAAAGGAAGAAAAAGAAAAAUGAUAGGACUUUGCAUGCUUCUAGUGAACCUGUUGUAGACACACCUGAGAAUCCCAAUGAUAUUUCUAUUUCUGAUGCUGAAACAAAAUCUGGUAAUGAACAUGAACCUAGUGAUAAUGUUAAUGAUGAUGUUCAUGUUGAUGCUCAACCUAGUAAUAACAAUGAUGUAGAAAUUGAACCUGCUGUUGAUCUUGAUAACCCACAAUCAAAGAAUCAACGUAAUGAUAAGAGAGACUUUGUUGCUAGGAAGCACGGUAAGGAAAGAGAACCUUGGGUUCAGAAACCCAUGCCUUUUCCUCCCAAACCAUCCAAGAAAAAGGAUGAUGAGGAUUUUGAGUGCUUUGCUGAAAUGAUUAGACCUAUCUUUUUGUGUAUGCGUUUGACUGAUAUGCUCAAAAUGAAUCCUUAUGCUAAGUAUAUGAAAGAAAUUGUUACAAAUAAAAGAAAGAUACCGGAAGCUGAAAUUUCCACCAUGCUUGCUAAUUAUACUUUUAAGGGUGGAAUACCAAAGAAACUUGGAGAUCCAGGAGUACCAACUAUACCAUGCUCCAUUAAAAGAAACUAUGUUAGAACUGCUUUAUGUGAUCUCGGAGCCGGUGUUAGUGUUAUCCUUCUCUCUUUGUAUCGUAGACUUGAUUUGAAUAAGUUGACACCUACUGAAAUAUCUUUGCAAAUGGCCGAUAAAUCAACUGCUAUACCUGUCGGUAUUUGUGAGGAUGUGCCUGUUGUGGUUGCAAACGUUACUAUCUUAACGGACUUUGUUAUUCUUGAUAUUCCCGAGGACGAUAGUAUGUCUAUUAUUCUUGGAAGACGCUUUUUGAAUACUGCAGGGGCUGUUAUUGAUUGCAACAAAGGCAAUGUCACUUUUCAUGUUAAUGGUAAUGAGCAUACGGUACACUUUCCGAGGAAACAACGUCAAGUCCAUAGUAUAAACUCUAUUGGAAAAAUUCCAUCGAUUAUUUUUGGAGGUUUUGAAUUUCCUCUACCUACUGUCAAGAAGAAAUAUGAUAUUCUUAUUAUUGGGGACGUGCAUAUCCCCGUUGAGGUAACCUAGUGCUAUUCGAAAAUUCUCCGGUUUCAUGUGAUUCGGAAUGAGUUUGUUAACAAGACUUGAUCAACCUUGUUGUGGAUUCCUUUUGAUGAGCAUGAGAUGGAUGAAGUUAGAAAGCACAACCUUCUGUACCCUCCUUUUACUUUCUGUUAUUUAGAUUAAAUAAAGUAAAAAUAGUAUUUUCUGUCUGUUUUCUGAGUUAUCCGUGCAAUAAAAAAUACCCCAAAAAUAAAAGUUCUCCAAAUGCCCUGAAAAUGAAAUAUGAUUUCUUCUAGAAUAUUUGAGAAUAUCUAGCACUGAGAACACACCAGGGGAGCAAGCACCUGGCCACGAGGGUCCAGGGCACGCCCACCCCCUUGGGGCGCAGCCCCUGCCUCGUGGGCCCAUGGUGGCUCCCCUCCACUUAUUCCAGCCACCACACACUCCUUCUUCCUCCCAAAAAAUCACCAACCAGCUCAAGCACGAGUUCUUGCUUAUUUUGCUGCGAUUUUCGAUCUCCUUGCUCAAAGCUCCAUUCACAAAACUGCUUUGGGGGAUUGUUCUUCGGUAUAUGACUCCUCCAAUGGUCCAAUUAGUUUUUGUUCUAGUGCUUUAUUCAUUGCAAUUUUUUGCUGCCUAGGUGACCCUAUUCUUGAGCUUGCAUGUCAAAUCUAUAUGGUCCCAAGUAGUUCUAAUGCAUGAUAUAGUCUCUAGGCACUUGUGGGAGUAGUUGCUAUCAAUUUUGUUGAGUUUGGUUCACUUUUAUUUUGAAGUUACUAAAAUUUUCAGAAAUUUUUUAGAGGAAGAAAUAUGCUUAGGAAAUUGUACCAAGGUGGUUCUUCAAGAAAGCAAGGACCCAGGCUCGCAAUGCAUGAGCCGGACGAUGAACCACCGAGGGACGCUCAAGUACAAGCCUGUGAAUGGCCGUCAGAAAACUUCAUGGUCCGAGCAGGAAUUAAGGAGGAAUUUGAGGCAUCUGUGCGUAACGCCGAUUUGGAGAGCUUCGUGUCAGAUAAGUGCCCCCAACACUAUUACCUUACUGAUUCCUUUGUGAGAAGAUUUAGAUUUUCAUCAUCACGCAACUCUCACACGGUCCUGUUUGAUCUUUAUGAUAAAUCCUAUACCAUGGACCUAGAGGAUUUUAGCACUGCUUGUAAACUCCCGCAAUGGGGUAGUCCUAGUGAACCUCGCAAAUCUGAGUUUAGAGAUUUUCUUGCUAGUAUCACAGUGGGGGAAUCUAGAGACAUAACACAAGCUGCUACAUGGAGCAUUCAUUUUCCUGCUAUACAUUAUUUUGCUCUCUUUAUAGGCCGAUGCAUAAAAGGUAAGGAUGAGGCAUGCCACAUGUGUGUUCCUGAUCUCAGUGUUCUCAGGAGUGCUGUAUUAGGAGAUAAGCAUUAUAAUUUGGGAGCUAUUAUGGCACGUAGGUUGCAUAAUAACAGUUUGAAUGGAGAUUUGUUUGGUGGAAUUUAUGCAACCCGUUUAGCUAAUUAUCUUGAGAUACCUAUUCGUGAUUAUGAUAUGGAACUGCCUCCUGCUUAUCUAGAUUUUAAUGCCAUGGUUCGUCAUCAGUUUGUUGAGAGGAAUGAACCGCCUCUCCAGUACCGACUAAUCUUUGAUAGGCGUCACGCUAUCAAUAUUGUUCUCCCUGCUACUACUCUCUUUGACUUUCAGGCAAAGGGGAGAUAUGUUGAAAGUGCAACUAUCCCUGGUGGUUUUGGUAAUUCCUAACAACAUAUAGCUCAUUGAGCUAAUGCUAUUUCAAGAUAAAUAUUUCAGGAAAGCUCAAUGAUUGGCAUGGCAUGGAUUAGAAAAGUGGACCCCUCAAAAUGCCAAGGACAAAAGGAUUGGCUCAAGCUCAAAGCACAAGACUCUACAUUUUUCAUUUUAGUGAUCCAAGAUCACAUUGAGUCCAUAGGAAAAGCCAGUACUAUCAAGAGGGGGUGAGGUGUUGCUUAAUGAGUUCCUUGCUCAAAAUGCUUAGUGAUAUGCUCCAAAAACCCUCAACUACUUUCUCAUAUCCACAUAUGUCUCAAACCAAAAGUCAAACUCGGCCCCACCGAAACUUUCUAUCCGGCGCCACCGAGUUCACUUGACAUAGCCACUGCCAGAAACCCUAGUCUUUUCGGUCUCACCGAUAGGGAUCUCGGUCUCACCGAGAUGGGAUUGUAAUCUCUCUGUUUCCCUUCGUAACGUUUCGGUCAAACCGAGAUGAGCGAUAGGUCCCACCGAGAUUGCAAUGCAAACUCUCUGUUUCCCUUAUGUAACGUUUCGGUCCAACCGAGAUGAGCGAAUCGGUCCCACCGAGUUUGCCUGACCAACUCUCUUGUUAAUCUAUUACCAAAAUCUGUCUCACCAAGUUUUUGUAAUCGUUGUCACCGAGAUUACGUUAUGCCCUAACCCUAACGAAAUCGGUCCCACUGAGUUGACAUGUCGGUCCCACCAAAAAUCCUAACGUUCACAUUUUGAACUAAAUCGGUCCAACCGCGUUUCAUGAUUCGGUCCCACCGAGUUUGGUAAAUUGUGUGUAAUGGUUAGAUUUUGUGUGGAGGCUAUAUAUACCCCUCCACCCACUCUUCAUUCAUAGAGAGAGCCAUCAGAACAUCCCUACACUUCCAACAUACAUUUUCUGAGAGAGAACCACCUACACUUGUGUUGAGGUCAAGAUAUUCCAUUCCAACCACAUAAAUCUUGAUCUCUAGCCUUCCCCAAGUUGCUUUCCACUCAAAUCUUCUUUCCACCAAAUUCAAAUCCUGUGAGAGAGAGUUGAGUGUUGGGGAGACUAUCAUUUGAAGCACAAGAGCAAGGAGUUCAUCAUCAACACACCAUUUGUUACCUCUUGGAGAGUGGUGUCUCCUAGAUUGGCUAGGUGUCACUUGGGAGCCUCCUUCAAGAUUGUGGAGUUGAACCAAGGAGUUUGUAAGGGCAAGGAGAUCGCCUACUUCGUGAAGAUCUACCCGAGUGAGGCAAGUCCUUCAUGGGCGACGACCAUGGUGGGAUAGACAAGGUUGCUUCUUCGUGGACCCUUCGUGGGUGGAGCCCUCUAUGGACUCGCGCAAUCGUUACCCUUCGUGGGUUGAAUUCUCCAUCAACGUGGAUGUACGAUAGCACCAUCUAUCGGAACCAUGGUUAAAAAUCUCCGUAUCAACAUUGCAUUUGCUCCCUCAAACUCCUCCCUUUACCUUCAUAUGCAAUUGUUUUACAUUCCGCUGCUAUACUCUUAGAAUUGCAUGUGUAGGUUGAUUGCUUGACUUGUGCAAAGUUGCUAAAAUCUGCCAAGAACUAAAAUUGGGAAAAGGCUAGAUUUUUAUUUGGUCAAGUAGUCUAAUCACCCGCCCCCCUCUAGACAUACUUUCGAUCCUACCAGUGGUAUCAGAGCUUUGGUCUCCAUUUGCUUUGAUUUCCAUAGAUUUUGGUGGUCAUAUCCUUGGUUUCACAACCUAGGAGAGUAUGGCGUCUAGCGAGGGAAAUUACCACCGUAGAGGUCCUUACUUUGAUGGUACAAAUCUUGCUAGUUGGAAGCAUAAGAUGAAAAUGCAUAUUCUUGGACAUAACCCGGCCGUUUGGGCUAUUGUGUGUAUUGGCUUUCAAGGUGAAUUCUUUGAUGGGAGAGAACCAAACCGUGAAGCUACCGCGGAAGAGUUGAAGAUGCUACAAUACAAUGCUCAAGCUUUUGAUAUUCUCUUCAAUGGAUUGUGCCCCGAAGAAUUCAACAAACUCAGUCGUCUUGAGAAUGCAAAGGAAAUUUGGGAUACUUUGAUUGAUAUGCACGAAGGUACCGACUCCGUCAAGGAAUCCAAAUUGGAUGUGCUUCAAAGUCAACUUGACAAGUUCAAAAUGAAGGAUGGUGAAGGUGUCGCUGAAAUGUACUCUAGGCUUGCUCUCAUCACAAAUGAGAUUGCCGGCUUAAGAAGUGAAGAGAUGACCGACAAAUUCAUCAUCAAGAAGAUCCUAAGAGCCUUGGAUGGAAAAUAUGAUACCGUGUGCACACUGAUCCAAAUGAUGCCCAAUUACAAAGAUCUCAAGCCAACGGAAGUCAUUGGAUGAAUUGUUGCUCAUGAGAUAUCACUCAAGGAUAAGGAAGAGCUCCACAACAAGUCAAGUGAUGCUUACAAAGCCUCAUGUGAAGAUCCCACAUCAUCAAGUGAGAAGCAAACCUUCAAUGAAGAAUUGAGUCUAAUGGUGAAGAACUUCAACAAAUUCUACAAGAGAAGGAGCAAGGAAAGAAGCUCCAAGUCAAGAUCCUACAAUGACAAGAGAUCAUCAAGUCGCGAAAGAAAUUGCUACAAUUGUGGAAGACUCGGACACUACUCCAAUGAGUGUACGGCUCCCUACAAAAGAAGAUAAGAUUCUCCCAAAAGAAGGAGUAGAAGAGAAGAAUCACCACCAAGAGAAAGAAGGAGUAGAGAUGAUCGUUAUGAAUGAAGACCCUCUCGGAGAAGCAAGGAUUCGGAAAGGAAGGAUAAGUCAUCAAGGAGCUACACAAAAAGAAGACAUCAAGCUAUUUAUCACUCCGAAAGAAGUUAUCACUCCGACCCUGAAUAUACUCAAGAUGAAGGUGUUGCCGGACUAGCACUUGUGACAACCAACUCCUACGACAUAUUUGACUCUCCAAAUGAAGGAAUUGGGAGAUGCUUCAUGGCUAAAGGUCCAAAGGUAACACACCCCGAGUAUGUUGAUUUCAAUAGUGAUGAAGAUGAUUUGCUAGGAGAUGAUGAUUUACUUGUUGACAACUGUAGUUAUGAAAACUAUGAUGAACUUGCUAUUAAUCAUACUAAUCAAGAUAAAACGAAUGACGAUGAUAAGAAGGAGAUUGAGCGUCUAACGAAAGAACUAAACACUCUUAAGUCAGCUCAUGAAACUACCUUGUAAGAUCAUCGAGAACUUUUAAAGACUCAUGAUAAGCUACGCUUUGAAAAGCUCAACCUUCAGCAAGAACAUGAGUUUUUAAAGGCAAUCAAUGAUGAUCUUCAUAAGAAAAGUUCUUCUUACAUUGCCAAGCGUUUACUCUUGUCUACUUACAUGCCACAAGUUAAAUCUAGCAACAAGAACAAGAAAGAUUCUUCAUCUAGUAGUAACAACAAUCAUGCUAAAUCCAAUGUUGUUGCUUCUAGAAGUUCUCUUGAUUCCACUAAUGAUUCUCUUAGCCAAGUUACACUUGAGCAAGAAAAUAGCUUAUUGAAGGGAAUUAUAGAGAAAGGUGUUUACAAGAGCCUUGCCGGAAGUAAGCAAUUUGAGGAAAUUGUACGCAUGCAAGGAAGGCACCGGAAGAAUCAAGGUGUUGGUUUUGAACGAAAGUUCAAUGCCAAUGGAGUUGAGUGGGAAGAAGAUCAAUACCCAAGACGAAGUUUGUUCCUCAAUAAGAGAAGUAUGAUCCUACUUCUUUCCAAGGAACACAAGCUCAAGAUGAUCUUCCACCAUAAGACCACAAGCAAAAAGGCAAGGACAAGCUUCAAGUGGAGACUGAUGCAUUUGAAGAAGCACCUAAGGCCUUGGUCAAGUGGGUCCCCAAGACUACAUGAAGUUCCACUUCAUCAAGUACGACUACAACUCCAAGGAUUCCCAUCAAGAUGGUGUGGAUCCCUAAGAAGAAGAACUAGAGAGUUCUUGAGGGUGACUCCGCCAACAUACUUCACUCUUAUCAUUUUGGCAAGGACAAGUGCAAACAUCUUCCAUAUCUUGCACUAGUUCAUGGAGUCACAGACCCUCUUGUUGGUAAGACAAGGGACAAGGUAACCUAAUGCUUUCAUGGACAUCAUCUUGUGUAUACAUCACUCUAUGUCUAUGGAUAUCCUUGUUUGUUCCUUGUGGGACUAACCUGUGUAGGUAUUGAAAGUGCAACUCACUCCAAUGGAUUGCUCCGAAUGAUCUACAUCAACAUUGAGCAUCCACAUCUUCAUUAUCUACAUGAAGUCAUCAUCGACAAAACCCAAGGCUAGUUCAUCCCUCUUAGGGGGGAUAUCACAUCUAGGGGGAGCUUUACUCUAAGAAUUGAGCUAAAGCAACUCUAAUGGUGUGAGCACAACAAUGCUUUAUGUAAAGGUGGUAACCCCACUUGUGCUUAAACGAUGAGUAUGACCUAUGAUCAAAUGUUCUCAUUUGACUCCUAAGUCAAUAUACUCAUAUAUAGAUGACCUAGUCAUCGCCAAUGGCUUGAUAGAUGCUAGAGUGUUUGUGCAUGCUUUGUCACAUAUUUCAUUUGCCAUUUUAUUGUGUGAGCAUGCUGGAUGCAUAUUUUUCUCAUUCGAGGACAUCCAUUUGUUGCUUUGAUUGUUUGGCUUUUUCUCUUUUGCCAAAUGGAUGGACAAGAAUGCCUAAGAACUGCCUCUAGCUAUCUAUGCUUUCCUCGUCUCAAACUCUAUUCAUGCUACAUCACAAAGUUUGAUCAAGUCAGAUUCGAACCACUCUGUGUGAGGAGCACUCGGAGUCCCCGAUUCGUCAUAGACUUAAACUUCCAAAACCUCUUUGUGCAUUUCGGUCUGACCGAUUCAUCCUUUUCGGUCCUACCGAGAUCACUUAGUUGAUCUAGGUUUUCAAUCUCGGUGCAACCGAUUAGAACCUGUCGGUCACACCGAGUUGCAGUAACUGCCUGCAGUUUUCCAUCUCGGUGCCACUGAGUUGUUCCACUCGGUCACACCGACAGGGUCAGGUUAUAUAUACUGACGGGUCAAAUUUUGGAAAUUUUUCUGAAACCCUUCACCCACGCGUGACCUACUCUGCCUCUUCGGGUCUCCGGAUCGUCCUCUCACCACCAGCGACCUCCCACCGCUGGUCUUCGCCGCCGUCAACGGCAAUCUGCUCUGCCGUUGCCGCCGUAGCGAACACUCGCCGCUCUAGGGUAAGUGUUCGACCCCUUGUGCUGUCUUUUUCACUCUGAUUCCUAGCACAAGGACAAUGCCAUGUUUCUUGCCAUGAUUGAGAUUGAGCCAUCCAGCUAAAACUUCCUUAGGUCUAGAUUGAUUCGAAAAUUUUAGGGAUAGAUCUUCGCAGAACUUAUCUCGGACCAACCGAAAUGUAGAAAUCGGUCUCACCGAUUCGGCCUUGGCCAUUGCACAUGCGCUUUUCGGUCUGACCGAAACGUGCAAAUCGGUGUGACCGAGCUCAAGAUUCUGUGAAACCCUAGCAAUCUCGGUGCCACCGAACUGUGACUCGGCCCAACCGAGUUGACUAGUUUAGGUUCCAAGUGUUGCUUCGGUAUCCCCGAGUUUGUCAAUUCGGUAGCUCCGAGAUCACUUCUGUAGAGAACUAAAACUAAGCUUUUUGACUCAAUUGUUUUGCAAAACCUCUGUACUUUGUGAUGCUCAUCUACUCUACCUCAUCUACAACCUAUUCACAGGGUCUGCUGGCAGUUUUCCUGAAGAUGUCUGAUCAAAGUGACAGUCAGAACAAGUCUGAAGAGCAGGUUCAGAUGAGUGAGGGCACUAGUCCCUCCAUCAGCUAUGAUGAGGGCAGCGGGAGCACACCUAGUAACUUGCCAAAGGCAGCCACCAGGAUAAGGAAGAAGAGAACCUUAGAUUCUAAGGAUGAGGAUUAUGUGGCUGUUGAGGAUGAAGCCACUUCAAGGAAAAAGGUGCUGAAAAAGGAAUAUGGCACAGCUGCUGCAAGUAAGCCAGGACUGGAAACAAAGGCUCCAGCAAGAAGAAUGCCAAUGUCAAAGCCAAGGAAAGUUGCCACAGGUGAAACUAUGAAGUUCACCAUUGAAUCUGAAGAAGAGGUUGCUGGUGAGGACAAGAAGAAGAAGAGGGCAAGAACCACUACUGCCAGAGUUCUUGGCAAGCCCUCAAUGAAGAGAGAUUCUGAAGGAGAAGAGGAAGAAGAAGAGGAUGCUGCACUAGGACCCAAAGCUCAGAAGCUUAUGGGAGAUGCAAUCAGAUCAGGGGCUGCUCCAUCUAAGCCCAAGUCUGCUCCCAAAGCUCCAGCUCAAAAGUCUGCACCCAAGACAAGCACCAGGAACAUCCCUGCCGAGGAGAAGAACAAGGCCCCAGUGCCUCAAGUUGAAGAAGAAUAUGAUGAAGCCCAGUGCUAAGGAAGCUCAAGCCCAAGAUCCCUGACCACAAUGAUGCACAUCCUGUUGCAGAAAAUAUGAAGAUCAGGAAGGAUUCAGGACUGAGAUUGUGGAGACAAUCUGAUCCAUAUGCUAUCAGGAGGAGAACUGUUGUUGAUUACAGGUUCCACACAAAGGAACAACAAGACUUUUACGAGACUAUCCUGCUUGACAAGAAGCCCAUAGUAUGUGACAUGAGAUGGGUUGAUUGGGAAUACAUCAAGGAGAAUGAAGAUCACUUCCCAUGAGUUUAUGACAGCUUCAAAUCAUGUGGAGUUGAUAAAUUUGUGGCUCAGAAGCUCACCAAGUGGAAUGAUGAGCUGAUCAUGCAGUUUUACUCCACUGCCCACUUCUACCCAGAUGGGAAGAUCAUUUGGAUGUCAGAAGGUACUAGGUACCAAUCCUGUGUGGAAGAAUGGGCUCAGUUGGUCAAUGCCCCAGAAGAACAUGAGGAUGACUUGGAUGUCUAUGCCAAGAAGAAGAAGGAUCACAACUCAAUGGCACACAUGUACAAGGAGAUUCCCGGUGCAGACCUGGAGACUCAUCAAUUUGGUUCUGUAAAGCACUUACUAUCAGGCCUGCCUACAAUCAAUUGGAUUCUAAGGCACACAUUGCUACCAAAGUCAGGAAAUCACAGAAUGAUCAGAGGACAUUACAUCAACUUGCUGCAUAUAUUUGAUGUUCCUCAAAAGUUCAAAGUCAUGAGUCUGAUUGUGGAGACAAUCAAGAGGACAGCUGCAGGUCAGAAGAGAUCUUGUGGGUAUGUGGACUCACGAGAAAAUGGCUGGUCACCGGGAUGCCCAGUCCCAUGCUCUAAGCAAAUCAAAUCAAAAUAAUUGCAAACAAAACUCCCCCAGGAUUGUUGUUAGUUGGAGGCACCCGUUGUUUCGGACAAGCCAUGGAAUGAUGUUUGUUGGUGGAGGGGGAGUAUAAACUUUACCAUUCUGUUUGAGAACCACCUAUAAUGUGUGUAGCAUGCAAGAUAUCGAGAUCUCUCGGUUGUUAUGUUGACAAUGAAAGUAUGCCACUCAAAAUAUUAUUUAUCUCUAUUUCAAAAUCGAGCUCUGGCACCUCUACAAAUCCCUGCUUCCCUCUGCGAAGGGCUUAUCCAUUUACUUUUAUGUUGAGUCAUCACCCUCUUAUUAAAAAGCACCAGUUGGAGAGCACUGUUGUCAUUUGCAUCCAUUACUAUUAAUUUAUAUUGAGUAUGACUAUGACUGGAUCUCUUUUACCAUGAAUUACAAUGUUUAGUCACUCCUUGAUCUUUAAAGGUGCUCUGCAUUUAUGUUUUGCGGUCUUAGAAAGGGCUAGCGAGAUACCAUCUUGUUAUAUCAUAUUAUGAUUAUUUUGAGAAAGUGCUGUCAUCCGAGAUUUAUUAUUAUUGCUCGCUAGUUGAUUAUUCCAUUGAUAUGAGUAAACAUGAGACCUAAGCGUUAUUGUGAAUAUGGUUAGUCAUAAUCUUUGCUGAAAACUUGAAUGUUGGCUUUACAUAUUUACAACAACAAGAGCAAACAGAGUUUAUGAAAGUUUUUUUAUCACUUUCAGUUUAUCAACUGAAUUGCUUGAGGACAAGCAAAGGUUUAAGCUUGGGGGAGUUGAUACGUCUCCGUCGUAUCUACUUUUCCAAACACUUUUGCCCUUGUUUUGGACUCUAACUUGCAUGAUUUGAAUGGAACUAACCCGGACUGAUGCUGUUUUCAGCAGAAUCGCCAUGGUGUUAUUUUUGUGCAGAAAUAGAAGUUCUCGGAAUGACCUAAAACUUCACGGAGAUUAUUUUUGGAAAUAAUAAAAAAUACUGGCGAAAGAAUCAAGGCCAGGGGGCCCACAGCCUGUCCACGAGGGUGGGAGGCGCGCCUGCCCCCCUGGGCGUGCCCCCCUGCCUCGUGGGCCCCCUGGAGCUCCACCGACCUCAACUCCAACUCUAUAUAUUCACGUUCGGGGAGAAAAAAAUCAGAGAGAAGGAUUCAUCGCGUUUUACGAUACGGAGCCGCCGCCAAGCCCUAAUCUCUCUCGGGAGGGUUGAUCCGGAGUCCGUUCGGGGCUCCGGAGAGGGGAAUCCGUCGCCAUCGUCAUCAUCAACCAUCCUCCAUCCCCAAUUUCAUGAUGCUCACCGCCGUGCGUGAGUAAUUCCAUCGUAGGCUUGCUGGAUGGUGAUGGGUUGGAUGAGAUUUAUCAUGUAAUCGAGUUAGUUUUGUUAGGGUUUGAUCCCUAGUAUCCACUAUGUUCUGAGAUUGAUGUUGUUAUGACUUUGCUAUGCUUAAUGCUUGUCACUAGGGCUCGAGUGCCAUGAUUUUAGAUCUGAACCUAUUAUGUUUUCAUGAAUAUAUGUGAGUUCUUGAUCCUAUCUUGCAAGUCUAUAGUCACCUACUAUGUGUUAUGAUCCGGCAACCCUGAAGUGACAAUAAUCGGGACCACUCCCGGUGAUGACCAUAGUUUGAGGAGUUCAUGUAUUCACUAUGUGUUAAUGCUUUGGUCCGGUACUCUAUUAAAAGGAGGCCUUAAUAUCCCUUUGUUUCCAAUAGGACCCCGCUGCCAUGGGAGGGUAGGACAAAAGAUGUCAUGCAAGUUCUUUUCCAUAAGCAUGUAUGACUAUAUUCAGAAUACAUGCCUACAUUACAUUGAUGAAUUGGAGCUAGUUCUGUGUCACCCUAUGUUAUAACUGUUGCAUAAAUAAUCGCAUCCGGCAUAAUUCUCCAUCAUCGAUCCAAUGCCUACGAGCUUUUCACAUAUUGUUCUCCGCUUAGUUACUUUUCCGUUGCCACUGUUACAAUCACUACAAAACUACUACUGUUACUUUUGCUACUGUUACCAUUACUUCCAUAUUACUUUGCUACUAAAUACUUUGCUGCAGAUACUAAGUUAUCCAUGUGUGGUUGAAUUGACAACUCAACUGCUAAUACUUGAGAAUAUUCUUUGGCUCCCCUUGUGUCGAAUCAAUAAAUUUGGGUUGAAUACUCUACCCUCGAAAACUGUUGCGAUCCCCUAUACUUGUGGGUUAUCAGUGGGCGCCCGUUUGUGUGCACCACGGCACCCAGAGGGGUGCCGGCGGGCACGGCGCCGGCCGGGGUAGGGCGAGGCUGGGCCGGGGCACCAGAGGCAACGGGUGGCGCAAGCGCGCGGUGCAAGGGCUGGCGAGCGGCGCGGGACGGCGUGCAGCGAGCGGCGGAGCAGAGGUCGUGGGUGGGGGCGAGGCCACGCCAGAUGCGGUGACGGCGAAGGUAGCAGUGGAGGCUGCGGCGGAGGGAGGCAGCAGCCGCAGCAGUUGGCAGCGGGCGACACGGGGCGGAGUAGGACGAGGUGGGGCGAUGAUCGGUGCAGAUGCGGGUGGGCAGGCGCGGGGCUUGGCCAUGGCGGCCAGCGUCAGGCACGCACGCGCAGGUGGAUGCAGGCACGGGUGGUGCGCGAGCGUGCGCGGGUGCAGUGCUCCAGGCGCGGCCACGGGAGGAAACGGGCGGCGGCUACGGCGACUGAACGAGGGGGGAGCAGGGAGGUUUGAAGGGGAGGCUCACAGCGGAUUCGGAUGAGGUGCUUGGGGAGCCCGGGGGUGCCGGAGUCGAGGGGGUCGAUGGCAAGGUUCCGAUGGCCGCGGGCGUUGACGGAGACGACGAGGUCGAUGCACUGCUCUCCGAGACNNNNNNNNNNNNNNNNNNNNNNNNNNNNNNNNNNNNNNNNNNNNNNNNNNNNNNNNNNNNNNNNNNNNNNNNNNNNNNNNNNNNNNNNNNNNNNNNNNNNNNNNNNNNNNNNNNNNNNNNNNNNNNNNNNNNNNNNNNNNNNNNNNNNNNNNNNNNNNNNNNNNNNNNNNNNNNNNNNNNNNNNNNNNNNNNNNNNNNNNNNNNNNNNNNNNNNNNNNNNNNNNNNNNNNNNNNNNNNNNNNNNNNNNNNNNNNNNNNNNNNNNNNNNNNNNNNNNNNNNNNNNNNNNNNNNNNNNNNNNNNNNNNNNNNNNNNNNNNNNNNNNNNNNNNNNNNNNNNNNNNNNNNNNNNNNNNNNNNNNNNNNNNNNNNNNNNNNNNNNNNNNNNNNNNNNNNNNNNNNNNNNNNNNNNNNNNNNNNNNNNNNNNNNNNNNNNNNNNNNNNNNNNNNNAAGAUCUGGGGGUGCUGACGAGGCCGAGAGACGGGGGCUUGGUCUUAUCCCCACGGCUGCGUGGGUUGGCUCGGGUGGGCCGAGGCCCACGGGAACAGGGAAAGGGGGGCCUUUCUUUGGUUUUUUUUUGUUCUUUUCUUUUUAUUUAAUUUUUUUUCUGUUUUCUUUUUGUUACACAUUAAUUUUAGUUUAGUAAAAUAUGACAAUUGCCCCUAAAAUAAUGUUCCAGAAUAACCCAGUGUCAUAAAAAGUUUUACCCCGAAUUAAAAUAGUUUAGCAAUCUAUAAAAUACCAAAGGCAUUUAUAUAAUUGUUUUUGCUACGGUUUAAAUAUUUUAGAGUGUUUAAACAUUUUAUAAAAGUGUGAUUUCUCCUCCAUAAUUACCUAUGCAUUAUUUGGCUCACUCUGAACAUUUUAGUUUUAAUAUUUGAAAACUUUUAUUGUUUGCCUUUAAUUAAAAUUUUGAAUUUGAAUCGUUUUGAACUAACGCGAGUUUAUUAACAGAAAUCGAGGUGACGUGGCAUUAUUAGUAGAGGGUUACUGUAGCUUAAUUAUCUGGGCGUCACAAUGGGAGCCAAAAAAUGAAUAUGGGAACCCAGAGAAAGAAUAAUAUAGGACUCCAGAGAAAGACUCAAACCAAAUGCUCCGUUAAUUGAUAUUUGUAAUAAUUUGGAGAUGAAGGAAUAGAGGUGAUUUUUAAAGUACUUCUUUUUGCAUAAAAAUAUUCAAUCUCACUAAAGAAAAGUGUUUGUAGAACUGGACAUGAGAGUUUCUUCGCAUCCAGCUCCUCGCAAAUGGAAUGAGAAAGCAUGCAAAUUUAUCUAAUUCUAGCCAUCUAUUGCAUCUCGAUCGGCUCUACCAUCAUGCUACCAUCCAGUUUCUUCAAAGUGCUAAUAUUUUUUACUCCGCAUUGAAGCUCUCACAUGAAAAGAAAAGUGUGUAUUUUUAUCUCCAGCUGGGAGUCAUUCCACCCAAGACUGUUGAUGCCACAUGAGUUCUUCCAGGUAGUAAAUCUCAACAAGUCUAUUGUUAAUCUUAUUAUCGAUAUGUGAAGGGCCUAUGCUUGUUGGGUUAUUACAUAGAUCUUCCUACUCUUUUUCCAAAUUAUUUAUCUCCUUUCUAACAUUGCCGAAAGACUCAAACAAAGAUCAAAAGGUAGUCUAGCCAACUUGGAUCAAACAUCUUCCACCGUUGAUUCAUGGUCGUUCGACUGCCAUGUAGCAUCAACGGUUUGGUUUAAGUCUUCAUGGGCAUCCCACGUCACUUCAUAGUGAAACUGGAUAUUCCACCGCCUUCAUUUGUCUCGUUCUCUAGCUACAGCAAGAUCGGAGAAUGAUCUAAGGCGCUGUGGUAAGGUGACUCAACGGUGCCAUAGGGAAUUGUGAUCCCAUUUAGCUAAGCCAAGUGCUCGGUCCAAUCUAAUCCUGGUGUAGGAACCACCCUUUUGAAAGUCCAAAAUCAGCCAUGUUGACCCAAAUCUUCAAGCCCAAAAAUGGCAAUUGUAUCCACGAAUGCAUUCAUAUGUGCCUGACUGUGUUCCCCCACUCUGAUACGUCUCCGACGCAUCUAUAAUUUUUUAUUGUUUCAUGCUAUUAUCAUACCACUUUUACAUAUUUCUUGAAAACAAUUUAUAUUAUUUCUAUUUGGACUAACCUAUUAACCCAGUGCCAAUGGCCAGUUCUUGUUUCUAUUGUUUUGGGGGUUUUAGGUGAAAAAUUCAUAGAGCCGGAAUGACGUGAAACUUUACGUGGAUUUUUUUAGUGUACAUAUCUGAAAUUAUGGCCCAAGAAUCAACAAAGGACGAGGGCCAUGGGCCUUACAAUCCACUAGGGCGCGCCUACCCCCCUAAGGCGUGGGGGGCUGGCUUGUGGCCAAACUGUAAGUCAGCUGGAGCUCUCCUUCGGCUGCAAGGAAGCUAAUUAUGAGAAAAACCCAUGUUAAAUUUUCAGCCCGGUCGGAGUUAUGGAAUUUUGACUAUUUAAGAAACGGUUCUCGGCCAGAAAAGAGGACCAAAAACAAAUAGAAACCCUAGAUAAAAAGAGGAGGAGAGAUCCAAUAUCGUAGGGGCUCCCGCCCUCUGGGGGCUAUUUAUGCCAAGGACCAGAGGGGGGACCCUUCUCACAUCUAGGGGAAAGCCAAGCAAGAAGAAGAAUAAGGGGGAGUGGGGCCUCUCUCUCCCUCCCUCUCCCGGUGGCGCCAGAGCGUGUGGCCGGGGAAACCAUCGUGAUGGCGGUCUACUCCAACAACUUCACUGUCGUUAUCGACAACUUUUUCCCUCUCCGUGCAGCGGUGUAUCCUCUCUCACCCCAUUGUAAUAUCUACUUGAGCAUGGUGCUCUAUGCUAUAUAUUAUUAUCCAAUGAUGUGUUGCACCUCUAUUAUGUUUGAGUAGUUUCCUUUUGUCCUAUGGUCUAAUUGUUGUAUGGUAUGAUUGAUAUGAGUUGUAUGGUCUAUUAUGGUGUUGUCCUAUGGUUCCCGUCGUGUCGCGCAAGCGUGUGGGAUCCCCACUGUAGGGUGUUGCUUUAUAUUAACGAUUUUCUUAUAAUCGGUAGCAGGAGUGACUCAAGCCUAAUCUCGAGUUCGUGAGUUGUUGCAUAUGGGAUUAAAGGGGACUUUUGACUUAAUGCUAUGGCUGGGUUUUACCUUAAUGAAUCUUUGUUAGUUGCAAAUACUUGCUAGAGUUCCAAUCAUAAGAAUAUAUGAUUCAAGUACGAAAACUAUGUUAGCUUUGGUCUCUCCCUCAUAAGUAUGAUGAAUAUCAUUAUCGUGUCAUAUGCAAUUGCCUAGGGACAAUCCUUUUCUCAUUGUUCUCAAGAAAACCUUUACUUUAUUGUUCUUUUACUAAAACAGCAACCAACUCCUUAUUAUGUUGCAAAGCUAUAUUUUAUUCUUGUGAAGUAGUUUUAUUUCUUGUUUCUAGGUAAAGCAAACAUUAGUGUGCGUAGAGUUGUAUCAAUGAUCGAUAGAACUUGAAAGAAUAUAAUUCUACCUUUAGCACGUCGUUGAGUUCGACACUCUUAUUUAUCGAAAAGGCCACAACUGAUCUCCUAUACUUGUGGAUUAUCAAGAACUUUUAUGGUGUCGUUGCCAGGAAGCAAUAAUGUGGGGUAAAUAUUCUCGUGUGUGCUUGUUUGCUUUAUCUCUAAAUAGAUUUUAUUUUCUGUUCUAAAUUGUUCUUUAUCUUUAGUUAUGAGUAUGGAAUAUGAAAUACCAAAAAAAUUAGUUGUACUUGCUACUUAUGAAAAUGGUGAACCUCCAAAAACCCUCGAUGUUGGCUAUGCGUGUAACAUUGAAAUUUCUUUCAUAACCCUGAUAAAUCACCGUUCAACGUGAUAAUAGGAUAUGAAAGAAAUAUGCAAUAUUCCAUUGUCAUGGUUGGAUCAACGUGAAUACUUUAAGGAUUAUCGCUUUACUCAAAAAGAGAAGUUUUUUUUAGAAAAGGAGGAUGACCCCCGGCCUCUGCAUCUGGGCGAUGCAUAUGGCCACUUUAUUAAUUAUUCUCACAAGACCUUACAAAGCCGUACAACAGCAAGACUAAAAGCCACCGUCUAAGCAACAACUGUCGCUACACCUAUCCAAUUGAUGAAGGGACGCAGAUAGUCUGGGCCUAAUACCAAACAGACAUCGCAGCCAAACCUAAACAUCUAAGACCUGAGGUCCCAACCAGGAUGCCUGCCGGGUAUGGGGCACCUACCAGUCCGGCGCACUCCUCAACCAGGACGCCUGCCGGGUAUGGGGCCGCCGCAGCCACCUGCCACCAAUCCAUCUUCAGAGUUGUACUGUUGCAUGUACCGUGCCAGGUCUCUCUGCCAUCGACGCCACCACGACGCCCGACAGCGUCGUCCUCCUGCGCGAGUCUAUCCUCCCACAGCGAACUCCGAAUCUGCACUGCGCCACGCCGUCAAGAUCCAUCGCCAUCAGUGUGUAGGAUGAAGCACCACUCCACUAAAGAAACUGUCCUCUGGUCCCUCGAUCACGUGUGUACCUCCAAGAAUGACGCCCCCAAGGGAGGAACGACACCAGAGCGCCGCCGUCAUCCGAUCAUCCGAUCUGGGGUUUCCCCCGGAGGUAGCAGAGAGUGGCCUUGAACUUCUCCACGGUGAUGCCUUCAAGAAGGGAACGACGCGGAUAGCGCCGCCACCGCCGGCCUUAGCAGGAGCCGAAGGCAAGUUUUCACCCAGAUCAGUUCGAAGGGAUCCAACUCUCGUGCCCGGGCCGCCGUCACCACCAGCACCACCAGGCAGACCCUGGAGUACCGGCAGAUCAGCGAGCCGCCGGCACCACCGCAUCCAGAUCGCCGGCCAUGCCGGGCCGCCGCCAUCCCCCGCGAUGUCCGGGUCAGAGAGGGAGCCGCCGACCGCGCACAGGGACCGCUGCCGCCUGCACACGCCGGAGCGCCGCCGAGAGCCCAGCGCCCGCCACCGCUUGCCGAAGCCAACCGCCCGAGCACUGGCACCACCGUGGAGCCAUCAGAUCGGGGAGGAAGACACGCGCCGAUCACCCUCGCGGACCCCGCCGCACGCCCGAGUGCCGGCGCCACCGCGACGCCAUCAGAUCGGGAUGAGGAGGAGCCUGCGUGCUCGCCGCCCCGCGCAGACCACGCCGNNNNNNNNNNNNNNNNNNNNNNNNNNNNNNNNNNNNNNNNNNNNNNNNNNNNNNNNNNNNNNNNNNNNNNNNNNNNNNNNNNNNNNNNNNNNNNNNNNNNNNNNNNNNNNNNNNNNNNNNNNNNNNNNNNNNNNNNNNNNNNNNNNNNNNNNNNNNNNNNNNNNNNNNNNNNNNNNNNNNNNNNNNNNNNNNNNNNNNNNNNNNNNNNNNNNNNNNNNNNNNNNNNNNNNNNNNNNNNNNNNNNNNNNNNNNNNNNNNNNNNNNNNNNNNNNNNNNNNNNNNNNNNNNNNNNNNNNNNNNNNNNNNNNNNNNNNNNNNNNNNNNNNNNNNNNNNNNNNNNNNNNNNNNNNNNNNNNNNNNNNNNNNNNNNNNNNNNNNNNNNNNNNNNNNNNNNNNNNNNNNNNGCCCGACCUGCCGCCGAGCCGAGCGCCGCCGCGAGGGCCGGCCGUCCCGCGCCGCCCAGGAGCCUCGCGAGGGGGAGGGAGCCCCGCCGCCGCCGACGCACGCACGGGCUUUGCCCAGCGGUGUCCCCUGGCGGCGGCGAGGGAGAAGGAAGGCGAGAAAGGGGAGCGGCGGCGGUGAUCUAGGGUUCCGCCGGGCCGCUCGCGGGAGCGGCACGGGGGACGGGCGAAAGAAAUCCCUCCACGCGGUUGGCUCGAUGCUAGUACCCCUCAAAAAGGGAAGUUAAAAUAUUAUGAUGGUAUGCUUGGAAUAUGCGCUCUAUAUAUGAUGAAUGCUCCACACCUUCCUUUCCAAUGUGAUGAAACAUUUACUUCUUAUGCAAAUGAUGUAUAUGAUUUAUUGCUUUUAAAGGUGCUUAUGAAAUUGUUUCAUUGCUUGAAAUACUAAGAUUUCAGAUUCAUCCUUGAAGAAUAGCAGUGUGUAGAUUGAAUACUAUGCCGGGGAACAUGAAGGUGAACUGGAAAAAGAAAUACAUGGUUUUAGGGAAGAUUCAGUGGUAGAGAUCAAAGGGGUAGCAAGCUCAGUGGCAGUGUGGCAGGGCGGUCCCGGUCAAUUCUGUAGUGUGAUUGCACUUGCGUGGAUGCUAUCUUUGUAAUCGGAAAAACGAAACAAACGAUUGGGUCAAGAUUGAUGUACAAGUGGAUGCAUUAAGUUACCAUUGGUUCAUAUUUUACAAAUCACCAAGUCCCAGCAGCUCUCCUAUGUGAUCAGACCUGCAUUAAUCAACAAAGGAUCUGUGCGAUACCCUCUCAUCCAUCACUCGUCAUACAAAACCAAAGCACGUUCGUUACACGGACGCGCGUUCGUCCAUUUUGCUGCUGAGCUGACAGAAAUUGCUCGACCACCGACCACUUAAGAGGAACCCAAGGUGUCGAAGAUGGUGGUGUGCAGCGGGUCGCUGAG